UCAAAGACAAUUGGAAUCAGUUGAAAAAUGAAACUUACAUUGUUAGCAGUUUUAGCUCUUUUGGGCACUUUCAUGAUGACAGGAGUCGUUGCCGAUUCUUGCCGAAAAGAAGGACAGAGUUGCAGUCGAAAUAGGCAGUGCUGUAGCAAUAAUUGCAAUCAAAAAAGAGGCGUGUGCAAAUAAUAGCUCCUAUAUAGAUAAAAAUAUUCUAAGAUGUUAAUGCAAUAUAGACCGUUGCGAGUUUUAAAUUAUUUAACUCUACAUCACCUAUGAAUGUUCAUCUUCCAAAAAACGGUUACAUUUUACUUCUAUUGCCUACAAAGAUGUUAUAAAAUCAUUUCUUAUUAGAUUUUUCUUAUUAAAUAUUGUAACCUUAUUCCAAAGAAAAUACAUAUUUUAUUAAAGCAUUAA
Long non-coding RNA from Leptopilina boulardi, 411 nucleotides. RefSeq lists it as uncharacterized. NCBI's taxonomy places the organism in Eukaryota, Metazoa, Arthropoda, Insecta, Hymenoptera, Figitidae. The transcript is spliced from 2 exons. The record is from RefSeq and is a predicted model, not a curated record.